RNAcentral lists this ribosomal RNA (547 nucleotides) under Bifidobacterium adolescentis. Its description in RNAcentral is "bacterial SSU rRNA". It matches the Rfam family "Bacterial small subunit ribosomal RNA", at positions 146 to 703 of the family's 1533-position model. The record is from RNAcentral. Lineage: Bacteria; Bacillati; Actinomycetota; Actinomycetes; Bifidobacteriales; Bifidobacteriaceae.
UCUCCUGGAAAACGGGUGGUAAUGCCGGAUGCUCCAGUUGGAUGCAUGUCCUUCUGGGAAAGAUUCAUCGGUAUGGGAUGGGGUCGCGUCCUAUCAGCUUGAUGGCGGGGUAACGGCCCACCAUGGCUUCGACGGGUAGCCGGCCUGAGAGGGCGACCGGCCACAUUGGGACUGAGAUACGGCCCAGACUCCUACGGGAGGCAGCAGUGGGGAAUAUUGCACAAUGGGCGCAAGCCUGAUGCAGCGACGCCGCGUGCGGGAUGACGGCCUUCGGGUUGUAAACCGCUUUUGACUGGGAGCAAGCCCUUCGGGGUGAGUGUACCUUUCGAAUAAGCACCGGCUAACUACGUGCCAGCAGCCGCGGUAAUACGUAGGGUGCAAGCGUUAUCCGGAAUUAUUGGGCGUAAAGGGCUCGUAGGCGGUUCGUCGCGUCCGGUGUGAAAGUCCAUCGCUUAACGGUGGAUCCGCGCCGGGUACGGGCGGGCUUGAGUGCGGUAGGGGAGACUGGAAUUCCCGGUGUAACGGUGGAAUGUGUAGAUAUCGGAAA